CCUACGGGUGGCAGCAGUGGGGAAUAUUGCGCAAUGGGCGAAAGCCUGACGCAGCGACGCCGCGUGAGGGAUGAAGGUCUUCGGAUCGUAAACCUCUGUCAGCAGGGAAGAACGGUCACUGUGCUAAUCAGCAGUGACUUGACGGUACCUGCAAAGGAAGCACCGGCUAACUCCGUGCCAGCAGCCGCGGUAAUACGGAGGGUGCGAGCGUUAAUCGGAAUUACUGGGCGUAAAGCGCUCGUAGGCGGUAUGUCAAGUCAAGGGUGAAAUCCCCGCGCUCAACGUGGGAACUGCCGUUGAAACUGGCGAACUGGAGUGUGGGAGAGGAUAGUGGAAUUCCAGGUGUAGGGGUGAAAUCCGUAGAUAUCUGGAGGAACAUCAGUGGCGAAGGCGACUAUCUGGCACAUAACUGACGCUGAGGAGCGAAAGCGUGGGUAGCAAACAGGAUUAGAUACCCGGGUAGUC
This 465-nucleotide ribosomal RNA is filed under the name uncultured bacterium. Its description in RNAcentral is "partial 16S ribosomal RNA". It matches the Rfam family "Bacterial small subunit ribosomal RNA", at positions 338 to 795 of the family's 1533-position model. The record is from RNAcentral.